This 269-nucleotide small nuclear RNA is filed under the name Tursiops truncatus (common bottlenose dolphin). Its description in RNAcentral is "7SK RNA (ENSTTRG00000024832.1)". It matches the Rfam family "7SK RNA". From Rfam's summary of the family: 7SK was discovered as an abundant small nuclear RNA in the mid-70s but a possible function has only recently been suggested. RNAcentral also lists the same sequence under 1 other name. The record is from Rfam by way of RNAcentral. Lineage: Eukaryota; Metazoa; Chordata; Mammalia; Artiodactyla; Delphinidae.
GGAUAAUGAGGGAAAUUCAGCUGCAAUUUCUACCAUCCCACUGAUAAGCAAGCUGAUUGGCUAAGCUGGUGUUUCUUUGCUCCCUCACCUCUCUACAUGGGACCCAUCUAGUACCGCACGCUACGGCAAAGGAGGCCAACAUUUCAAGGAUAGAAGAGGACUACAGCUCAGUUAAGGGUAUACAAAGAGCUGCGCUCUCUGAUACAGAAGCCAGUAGCCAUAUGUGGCUAUUUAAAUCUAAUUAAUUAAAAUUAAAUUAAAUGAAAAUU